This 402-nucleotide ribosomal RNA is filed under the name bacterium. Its description in RNAcentral is "partial 16S ribosomal RNA". It matches the Rfam family "Bacterial small subunit ribosomal RNA", at positions 355 to 776 of the family's 1533-position model. The record is from RNAcentral.
UGGGGAAUAUUGCACAAUGGGGGAAACCCUGAUGCAGCGACGCCGCGUGAACGAAGAAGGUAUUCGUAUCGUAAAGUUCUGUCCUAUGGAAGAUAAUGACAGUACCAUAGAAGAAAGCUCCGGCUAAAUACGUACCAGCAGCCGCGGUAAUACGUAUGGAGCGAGCGUUGUCCGGAAUUAUUGGGCGUAAAGGGUACGCAGGCGGUUUAAUAAGUCGAAUGUUAAAGAUCGGGGCUCAACCCCGCAAAGCAUUGGAAACUGAUAAACUUGAGUAGUGGAGAGGAAAGUGGAAUUCCUAGUGUAGUGGUGAAAUACGUAGAUAUUAGGAGGAAUACCAGUAGCGAAGGCGACUUUCUGGACACAAACUGACGCUGAGGUACGAAAGCGUGGGGAGCAAACAGG